RNAcentral lists this ribosomal RNA (494 nucleotides) under uncultured bacterium. RNAcentral describes it as "partial 16S ribosomal RNA". It matches the Rfam family "Bacterial small subunit ribosomal RNA", at positions 28 to 507 of the family's 1533-position model. The record is from RNAcentral.
GACGAACGCUGGCGGCGUGCCUAAUACAUGCAAGUAGAACGCUGAAGGAGGAGCUUGCUCUUCUGGAUGAGUUGCGAACGGGUGAGUAACGCGUUGGAACCUGCCUGGUAGCGGGGGAUAACUAUUGGAAACGAUAGCUAAUACCGCAUAACAGUAGAUGUUGCAUGACAUUUACUUAAAAGGUGCAAUUGCAUCACUACCAGAUGGACCUGCGUUGUAUUAGCUAGUUGGUGGGGUAACGGCUCACCAAGGCGACGAUACAUAGCCGACCUGAGAGGGUGAUCGGCCACACUGGGACUGAGACACGGCCCAGACUCCUACGGGAGGCAGCAGUAGGGAAUCUUCGGCAAUGGACGGAAGUCUGACCGAGCAACGCCGCGUGAGUGAAGAAGGUUUUCGGAUCGUAAAGCUCUGUUGUAAGAGAAGAACGAGUGUGAGAGUGGAAAGUUCACACUGUGACGGUAUCUUACCAGAAAGGGACGGCUAACUACGUG